UACGGAGGGUGCAAGCGUUGUCCGGAUUUAUUGGGCUUAAAGGGUGCGUAGGCGGCUCUGUAAGUCAGUGGUGAAAGCCUCCAGCUCAACUGGAGAACUGCCAUUGAUACUGCAGGGCUUGAGUACAGACGAGGUUGGCGGAAUUGAUAGUGUAGCGGUGAAAUGCAUAGAUACUAUCAAGAACUCCGAUUGCGUAGGCAGCUAACUAGGCUGUAACUGACGCUGAGGCACGAAAGCGUGGGGAGCAAACAGG
RNAcentral lists this ribosomal RNA (253 nucleotides) under uncultured bacterium. RNAcentral's name for it is "partial 16S ribosomal RNA". It matches the Rfam family "Bacterial small subunit ribosomal RNA", at positions 524 to 776 of the family's 1533-position model. The record is from RNAcentral.